GAUGAAGAACGCAGCGAAAUGCGAUAAGUAGUGUGAAUUGCAGAAUUCAGUGAAUCAUCGAAUCUUUGAACGCACAUUGCGCCCCAUGGUAUUCCGUGGGGCAUGCCUGUUCGAGCGUCAUUUCAACCAUCAAGCCCCAGGCUUGCGUUGGAGCCCUGCGGCUGCCGCAGCCUCCUAAAAGCAGUGGCGGGCUCGCUAUCACACCGAGUGCAGUAGAUUACUCUUCGCUCAGGGCGUGCAGCGGGUUCCGGCCGUGAAACCCCCUACUUUUAAAGGUUGACCUCGGAUCAGGUAGGAAUACCCGCUGAACUUAAGCAUAUCAAUAACGGAGGA
Molecule: unclassified non-coding RNA, 333 nt
Filed under: soil metagenome
Description: partial contains 5.8S ribosomal RNA, internal transcribed spacer 2, and large subunit ribosomal RNA
Rfam family: 5.8S ribosomal RNA (bases 1-120)
Source: RNAcentral